RNAcentral lists this ribosomal RNA (276 nucleotides) under uncultured Lactobacillus sp. RNAcentral's name for it is "partial 16S ribosomal RNA". It matches the Rfam family "Bacterial small subunit ribosomal RNA", at positions 267 to 525 of the family's 1533-position model. The record is from RNAcentral. Lineage: Bacteria; Bacillati; Bacillota; Bacilli; Lactobacillales; Lactobacillaceae.
ACCAAGGCGAUGAUGCAUAGCCCGAGUUGAGAGACUGAUCGGCCACAUUGGGGACUGAGACACGGGCCCAAACUCCUACGGGAGGCAGCAGUAGGGAAUCUUCCACAAUGGACGCAAGUCUGAUGGAGCAAACGCCGCGUGAGUGAAGAAAGUUUUCGGAUCGUAAAAAGCUCUGUUGUUGGUGAAGAAGGAUAGAGGUAGUAACUGGCCCUUUAUUUGACGGUAAUCAACCCAGAAAGUCACGGGCUAACUACGUGCCCAGCAGCCGCGGUAAAU